CCAGACUCCUACGGGAGGCAGCAGUGGGGAAUAUUGCACAAUGGGCGCAAGCCUGAUGCAGCCAUGCCGCGUGUGUGAAGAAGGCCUUCGGGUUGUAAAGCACUUUCAGCGGGGAGGAAGGCAAUAAGGUUAAUAACCUUGUUGAUUGACGUUACCCGCAGAAGAAGCACCGGCUAACUCCGUGCCAGCAGCCGCGGUAAUACGGAGGGUGCAAGCGUUAAUCGGAAUUACUGGGCGUAAAGCGCACGCAGGCGGUCUGUCGAGUCGGAUGUGAAAUCCCCGGGCUCAACCUGGGAACUGCAUUCGAAACUGGCAGGCUAGAGUCUUGUAGAGGGGGGUAGAAUUCCAGGUGUAGCGGUGAAAUGCGUAGAGAUCUGGAGGAAUACCGGUGGCGAAGGCGGCCCCCUGGACAAAGACUGACGCUCAGGUGCGAAAGCGUGGGGAGCAAACAGGAUUAGAUACCCCUGUAC
RNAcentral lists this ribosomal RNA (470 nucleotides) under uncultured bacterium. Its description in RNAcentral is "bacterial SSU rRNA". It matches the Rfam family "Bacterial small subunit ribosomal RNA", at positions 331 to 793 of the family's 1533-position model. The record is from RNAcentral.